Long non-coding RNA from Labeo rohita (rohu), 2224 nucleotides. RefSeq lists it as uncharacterized. Lineage: Eukaryota; Metazoa; Chordata; Actinopteri; Cypriniformes; Cyprinidae. The record is from RefSeq and is a predicted model, not a curated record. The transcript has 11 exons.
GCUGCGUUUGAGCUCUUGGCGUCGUGUUUUUCCUGCUAAGUCAACUGAGGUCGAUUCUGAAAUAAUGUUUAAUUGUUCAUCCCCGAAGGAUGUUAAUUAAGGAAUUUAAUUUGAUAUGAUAUCCGCAACCCUGAAAGCAGGCCAAAAGUCGUGUUUUUUCCUGCGAGAGAAGCCGGAUUCGGCGUAUCGCCGUCAGAUCGAACUGCAUUCUAAUGAAGUCUGAAAACACAGAUGGUGACAAUUAAAAGACAGCGCUAGCUUUUGUCCUCGCAUCAUCCACCUGACAAGACCGUGAGUGAUGUUAGAUCAGGAUUUCAAGAGUAAUGUGAUCGUCUUUGAAGGUUUACACAGAGUACUGUAGAUUGUAGUGUUGAGGAGGAUGGUGUGCUCUAGGUUAAGAUGGUUUGUUCGGUGGACCGAGAGCAUGAUGCCAUCUGGAGAUGCGAGGACUAAUCAUUCGGGAGGCCAAAGUGAAAUCAGGAGGAUGAUAAUAAUACUUCAGUACAGCAGGUCACACACAGUCUGACACCAUGUCUACAAUGCAAAGGAUCAACACAAGAUCACUCCCGUUCUACUGAAUGAAGCUGUCUGCGCUGCAAGCAACAUGGCAUCUUUAGAGAACUGCUGGAUUCGAAAGCAGGGUUUUAUUUAGCACAAGAUCAGUGACGGACGGACAGACUCCAGCGAGACAGAUGGGCAGAUGUGGCUUCACAGCAGAUGAAUUCAUCUGAUGAAGGCAUGUUACAACCUGUCCAAGCCGGUGUCCGGCUUCAUUGAAUAGCCCUGCCUUGGAACAGAAUUUGCACUAGAAAUGCAGCCUUUGACUUCAACAGAAAAAGAAAAGAGAAUGGAGAGCCUCCUCCAUUGUAAAAGCUAGUUGAAGCAGACAAAUGAGGAGAUUCGCAGCCCACCUGAAGCCCAGGAGAACGCCGCCCGAGCAGGCAUGCCAGCGGAGGCCCCUGCUAAUUAUCAGGCCCCUCUUCAUGACUGACAUCUGCCUCCUACCCCUCUAUUAGGACAUCAGCAGCAGCUUGAAGAAAAAAAAAACAAGGAGAAACCACACAACAAGGAGGGCUUCCACUAUGCUCUAUUGUAGGCAUGGUGAUGGUUCGUCUGUCGAGCGGCUGCCCUUUGAUGACCCUGUCCGUCUGAGGCAUCUGCGGCUCACUGGAGCGUUUCUUGGCCGUCUCAUGCUCUAUCAGUCCCAAUGACGGAACACAGCACCCGACUGGACCCGCAUGGCCAUAAGGGGUGCUGGAGUCAACCCGAUCCGACAGCCUAGCUCACCCCUCUGGUCUGAGGGUCAACGCUGGGGUCAUUCAGCACCUAGAGUCACCCUGGGUAAUGCUGGAUGCACUCAUGAUAUUAAGACUCCAUAGAUGUCCUUUCGAUUGGCAGUGCACACUAGGACAGGUUCAAUCAAAAGCUCCUAAAUGGUUUGCAGUGCAGGGAACGGGAGUCACUGUGCCCUCGGCUCCUGCUGAAGACAGCUAUCAGACACAACAGGGUGAUGCUGCCUUCAGUUGCCAUGGAAAUCCAAAACGACGGUGUGCCAAAAGCUGGCAUUCAUGGGAGGCGCUGCGCUCUGAGUUAUUUUGGUUGGCCAUUCACAUGUGAGAGGUGAGGCACGGAUCAAUCAUUAAAAAUCAUACUACGCCGUGUCUCUCUCUGUACCAUCACUCCUCUUUUCACGCUCCGGGUCUCCUCUUCAAAGGAUGAUUAGUGACAAUAAUAGUACGGGAUAUCGUGAGAUGCUGCCAGUGUAUCGUCUGUCAGAAAUGGCCAGGUCACAUAGUGGAUUGCAGUCAUGUCUGAGGGGUAAGUGUUAUCUUUAUUAGACUGUUGACCCUGUCAAUGUCAUACUUAUCCAAAAUGGCUUAUUUACACCAGGUUAUGAUUAUAAACUGUGAGUCAGAGUUAAAAGUAAAACUGACACCAAAUGGAAAACUGAAAAAUUAAAAUCAUAAAAGGUCGGUACUUAUAGUGAAAUAAACAUGAUCUGAAAUAAAAACUUUUCAACAUUUCUAAUUUUAAUUUAGUUUAAUAACUAAAAAAAUACUAACAAUACUAACAAAAAUACGCAAACAACAUUACUAACAUUUUAACUGAAAUAAAAAUAGAAAAAUAAAAAAUGUAAAAUGAUAAAAUUUAAAAAUAAAGUUUUAUAUAUAUGGACAUAAAAUAAAAUAAUAAAAAUGACAAAAAUACUAACAAAAUACUACAA